This 69-nucleotide transfer RNA is filed under the name Neotrigonia margaritacea. RNAcentral describes it as "tRNA-Ser". The record is from RNAcentral. Lineage: Eukaryota; Metazoa; Mollusca; Bivalvia; Trigoniida; Trigoniidae.
AGAGUAAUAGCCGGGCUAAUAUAGGGCUUCUAACCAUAUAAAGGGGCGUUCAACUCUCUCCAUUACUCU